RNAcentral lists this ribosomal RNA (437 nucleotides) under Nonomuraea pusilla. RNAcentral's name for it is "partial 16S ribosomal RNA". It matches the Rfam family "Bacterial small subunit ribosomal RNA", at positions 989 to 1387 of the family's 1533-position model. The record is from RNAcentral. Lineage: Bacteria; Bacillati; Actinomycetota; Actinomycetes; Streptosporangiales; Streptosporangiaceae.
ACCCGGACAUUUAUAGAGAUAGAUCUUUUUUUGGAGUGGGUGACAGGUGGUACAUGGGUGUUCUCAGUUUGUCUUGUGAGAUUUUGGGAUAAGUCCCAAUAAGAGCAAAACCUUUGCUCCAUGUUGCCAACACGUUUUUUUGGGGGGGGGGGGGACUCAGGGGAGAGCGCCGGGGUAAACUCGGAAGAGGGUGGGGAUGACGUCAAGUCAUCAUCCCCUUUAUGUUUUGGGGUGCAAACAUGAUACAAUGGCCUGUACAGAGGGUUGAGAUACUGUGAGGUGGAGAGUAUCCAUAAAAGCCGGUCUCAUUUGGGAUGGGUGUGCGAAACUAGACCCCAAGAAGUGGGUGUCGAUUGUAAUCGCAGAUCCUCUAUGAUGCGGUGAAUAUUUUCCCGCGCCUUAUAUACUAGCCCUUCCGGCUUUUUUUCUUCUGAAAU